This 221-nucleotide long non-coding RNA is filed under the name Lathyrus oleraceus (garden pea). RNAcentral's name for it is "Pisum sativum (pea) long non-coding RNA (PSAT_LNC017239)". The record is from RNAcentral. Lineage: Eukaryota; Viridiplantae; Streptophyta; Magnoliopsida; Fabales; Fabaceae.
UAAAACCUUACCAAUCAAAAUGCAUUUUUGGACCUUUUUCAUUUAAAUUCAAAGUUUGACCAAGAGUUGACUUUUUGACUCAAGCAUUUUUCAAACAUUUGGCCAAUUGGAACAGCUCAUAAAUAUCAUUUUAAGUGUGUUUGCAAAGCCAAAUUAUGCAGAACAUGUGAAUAUUGCUUGGUUGCUUGAAUUGUAAGAAAAGUACCAUUUAACCAUACUUU